GUGACUUGUGUGAAAUAUCCUUGUUUGGAGUAAUUCCAGAAAUGGAAUGGCCUGAUCUGGUAUAUCCCAAAUUGGGCAGGCUCAGGAACAGUUCCUGUUCUUGACUAUGUUGUAGUUUGAUACUGUGUUAUUUUUCUUUUGCUGUUUGUGGUGUUUUUCUGCAUGUAACAUGGGCAGUAUGAUAUAUGGAUUUGGGGUAGCAGAACCCAAUGAAUCCAAUGGUGACACUGGAUUCCAGUUAUGAGCAGUUAUGCAGAAGUGUCACUUUGUGUUGAGGUGGCACUUGUUGACCUCGUAGGUUGGUGUAAGUGCAUAGUUAGGGAUUGAGCAUACAUGCAUCAUUUUAGUUAGUGCUUCCUGUUGUGCAUGUCUCUUGAAUGUAGCUCCGUUCUUUGUUCCACGUGUUAACCGACUAGGAUGACAUGUAGAAUCACCGCUUCACCUCUUGCCAUGUUUAACCACAUUUAAUAGUGUCGUGUAUCUAAUCGGGAUAGAACUAAAUAACUCGUAUGUGGAGUUUCGUCAAUAUGCAACUCGUUGCAUAUUGAACUUCACUUAAUGUGUAGUGUUUGAUUGUGUGAUUUGUCAUGUCGUGACUUGCAUGUAUUCAACUGCUCAUGCAUCAUAUGUGUUGUGCAUCGUGUGGUGAAUUCCGUGUGUUGAUUUGUGUUUCCGGUUUGCUUCGUUCCGAUAGAGUUCCGCAAGCGUGUCGGAAUGUGAGGAGCCGUUCGACUACGUCAGUUCGUCUGCUUCACGGAGGCAUUCUUCUUCCAAGAGGGAUCUCAGGCAAGAUGAUCAUUUCCCCAGAUACCAUUACUAUCAUUGCCAUGCUAGUUAUUUCGAUGCUGUCGAUUAUGUCUCGUUGCCUACCACAUGUUAAAUAUCAGCCUCUCAACAAUGCCAUGUUAACCAUCAACCUGUUCAACCUAGCAAACCACUGAUUGGCUAUGUUACUGCUUGCUUAACCCUGUUGUUAGCGUUGCUAGUUGCAGGUGCAGUUGCUUCCAUGUGAAACAUGGGUUCCUUGUUAUAUCACCAUAUUAAAUGCUAUUUAAUUUAAUGCACCUAUAUACUUGAUAAAAGGUGGAAGGCUCGGC
RNAcentral lists this long non-coding RNA (1097 nucleotides) under Hordeum vulgare. RNAcentral's name for it is "long non-coding RNA (HVUL_LNC002238)". The record is from RNAcentral. Lineage: Eukaryota; Viridiplantae; Streptophyta; Magnoliopsida; Poales; Poaceae.